GACGAACGCUGGCGGCGUGCUUAACACAUGCAAGUCGAACGGAAAGGCCCUGCUUUUGUGGGGUGCUCGAGUGGCGAACGGGUGAGUAACACGUGAGUAACCUGCCCUUGACUUUGGGAUAACUUCAGGAAACUGGGGCUAAUACCGGAUAGUAGCUCCUGCUGCAUGGUGGGGGUUGGAAAGUUUCGGCGGUUGGGGAUGGACUCGCGGCUUAUCAGCUUGUUGGUGGAGUAGUGACUUACCAAGGCUUUGACGGGUAGCCGGCCUGAGAGGGUGACCGGCCACAUUGGGACUGAGAUGCGGCCCAGACUCCUACGGGAGGCAGCAGUGGGGAAUAUUGCACAAUGGGCGGAAGCCUGAUGCAGAAACGCCGCGUGCGGGAUGACGGCCUUCGGGUUGUAAACCGCUUUCGCAUGUGACGAAGCGUGAGUGACGGUAAUGGGUAAAGAAGCACCGGCUAACUACGUG
RNAcentral lists this ribosomal RNA (468 nucleotides) under uncultured bacterium. Its description in RNAcentral is "partial 16S ribosomal RNA". It matches the Rfam family "Bacterial small subunit ribosomal RNA", at positions 28 to 507 of the family's 1533-position model. The record is from RNAcentral.